AGCAGCCGCGGUAAUUCCAGCUCCAAUAGUGUAUAUUAAAGUUGCUGUGAUUAAAACGCUCGUAGUUGAAUUGAAAAGUGUCUAGCUUGGGAAAGCCGGGUAACCGGGGGACUCUUGCGUUAACGGACAUGAAGGUUAUGGUCGCAAGGCCGUAAUUACUUUGAAAAAAAUAGGGUGUUUAAAGCAAAUCUUAUGUUAAUGAAUAAUGAAGCAUGGGACAAUAUUGAGGAGAUCCCUUUUGGGAUGUCGAGAUAAGGAUUAAAAGGAACAAUUGGGGUGAUUCAGAAAAUAACGGGAGAGGUGAAAAUCCAUGAUCGCUAUAAGAUGCACGAGAGCGAAAGCAUUUCACUCAAUUGCGUUCAUUAAUCAAGAACGAAAGUUA
This 382-nucleotide ribosomal RNA is filed under the name Entamoeba sp. Its description in RNAcentral is "partial small subunit ribosomal RNA". It matches the Rfam family "Eukaryotic small subunit ribosomal RNA", at positions 569 to 992 of the family's 1831-position model. The record is from RNAcentral. Lineage: Eukaryota; Evosea; Mastigamoebida; Endamoebidae.